RNAcentral lists this ribosomal RNA (513 nucleotides) under uncultured bacterium. Its description in RNAcentral is "bacterial SSU rRNA". It matches the Rfam family "Bacterial small subunit ribosomal RNA", at positions 28 to 534 of the family's 1533-position model. The record is from RNAcentral.
GAUGAACGCUAGCGGCAGGCUUAAUACAUGCAAGUCGAGGGGCAGCGCGGGUAGCAAUACCUGGCGGCGACCGGCAAACGGGUGCGGAACACGUACGCAACCUUCCCAUAACUGGUGAAUAGCCCUCCGAAAGGAGGAUUAAUACACCGUAAGAUAACGAAGAGGCAUCUCUUUGUUAUUAUAGCUACGGCGGUUUUGGAUGGGCGUGCGCCUGAUUAGGUAGUUGGCGGGGUAACGGCCCACCAAGCCUACGAUCAGUAACUGGUGUGAGAGCACGACCAGUCACACGGGCACUGAGACACGGGCCCGACUCCUACGGGAGGCAGCAGUAAGGAAUAUUGGUCAAUGGACGCAAGUCUGAACCAGCCAUGCCGCGUGAAGGAUGAAGGUCCUCUGGAUUGUAAACUUCUUUUAUCUGGGACGAAAAAAGGGCUUUCUAGCUCACUUGACGGUACCAGAGGAAUAAGGCACCGGCUAACUCCGUGCCAGCAGCCGCGGUAAAGUAUCGUACGC